This 1715-nucleotide long non-coding RNA is filed under the name Macaca fascicularis (crab-eating macaque). RNAcentral's name for it is "lncRNA (ENSMFAG00000065022.1)". The record is from RNAcentral. Lineage: Eukaryota; Metazoa; Chordata; Mammalia; Primates; Cercopithecidae.
AAACCAUCACACUGAUUUUCCAUUCCAGAUAGCUGAACACGACAAUGUCUAACCAUUCCAGAUAGCCAAACACGACAAUGUCUAACCAUUCCAGAUAGCCAAACACGACAAUGUCUAACAGAGCCACACCGUGGUGACGAUGGAGGAUAUCAAGAACUCUGAUUCCAGUGCUGGCGCAACGGAAACUGGUACAAGACAUUCAAAACAGUAUGGCUUUAUUGGGAUACGUGAAAAACACGUGGCAAUUCUUCAAGGAUCUAGAACUAGAAAUACCAUUUGACCCAGCGAUCCCAUAACUAGGUAUAUACCCAAAGGAUUAUACAUCAUUCUGCUAUAAAGACACAUGCACACGUAUGUUUAUUGCGGCACUAUUCACAAUAGCAAAGACUGGGAACCAACCCAAAUGCUCACACUUAGCUGGUCAUUCUCCUCCCGGGUGCAGCAGCCUAGAGGCACUCCAUGAGUGUGUGUCUGGGACGAGGGUGCAUCUGGGACUCACGCUCUGGAAUGUUCAUUGCUGCGGUGUCCACAGCAGCCCCUGAUCUGAAAUAAAGCAAAUCUGUGUGUGAGAGGAGCCGCCGUACAGUGGUGAAGACAAAUGAACCACAGGUGCGUCCAGCCCUGAAGAACCUGGAGCCACUCAGGGCAACAGGGAAGCGAGAGGCAGAAAUGCACCUGACACGAUGUCCUGUAUACAAACUGGAAAAGCCGGAGAACUGACGGAGACGAGUUGGGGAGGCGUUCAUAAACAGUAGCCAGAAGAAAAGGCAAGAGAACGAUGUUCACACAAUUUAGGAUUGUGCCAGAUCACCCAACAAAAGAUGGCUAACACACUGAAAGCAGGUCUCUGGCAAAAACAGGAGUAUGAAGAACAUGGAAGUACAUUUCAAAUUGCUUGUGGGAGGCCUGGCGUGGUGGCUCACGCCUGUCAUCUCAGCACUUUGAGAGGCCAAGGUGGGUGGAUUACUUGAGGUCAGGAGUUCGAGACCAGCCUGGCCAACACAGUGAAACCUGUCUCUACUAAAAAUACAAAGAGUAGCCGGGCGUGGUGACGCCUGCCUGUAGUCCCAGCUACUCAGGAGACAGAGGCAGGGCAAUCGCUAGAGCCCGUGAGGCAGAGGUUGCAGUGAGCUGAGAUUGAGCCACUGCACUCCAGCCCGGAUGACAGAGUAAAACUCUGUCUCAAAAGCAAACAAACAAAACAAAACAAAACAAAACAAAAUUGCUUGUAAGAGACUCCUGCCAGCAUAGAAACAUUUACCCAUCUAAUGAUUAUUCAAGACCUGGGAGGGAAUGAAGGUGUUUUAUUUGCGCACCAAAUUCAAUUAACUAAAUUGAAUGGAGUCAAACUAAAGAAACUAUUAAUGGGUCAAUUUCAGGAAGAAAUUCUAGACAGGAAGACUGAUUACGCGCAAGAAGAAGGCCGGACACUGUGGCUCACGCCUCUAAUCCCAGUACUUUGGGAGGCUGAGGCAAGAGGAUCACUUGAGCCCAGGAGGUUGACACCAGCCUGGGCAACAUGCCAAAAUCCUGUCUGUACCAAAAAAAAAAAAAAAAACCUUAGCUGGGGCAUGGUGGCAUGCAUUUGUAGUCCUAGCUACUUGGGGGGCUGAGGUUGGAGGAUCGCUUGAGCCCUGGAGUUCAAGGCUGCAGUGAGCCAAGAUUGCACCAGAGGGUGACAGAAUGAGACUCUGUCUCCAAAAAAAAAAAAAAAA